UUUAUAUUGAAAACAGUUAUUUGUCCUUUUAAAAUGAAAAAAAAAGAAUCAAACAUUUACUUGUUUCUGUUUUACUGACAUUUUGAUGGAUAAAGCUAAAAAGGGAAUGGGGAGCUGGGAUGGUACGAGUUCUUCAGUUCCAUCAGCCCUACUGUGUGAAGCUGAAGUUACUCGGUCCAAAGCAAGACAAGCAUGGAACUUAAAGAUCACAUUAAUUCAUAAAAGUGAAAUCUGCCAAAAGAAGAAGCGAGGUGUGAGGUGAAAAUGCUGCAGUGUAAGUAGUAGGUCAAUGUCAUGGUAUAUAUGGUGAAUGGGGAAAAAUUUGAAGGAUAAACAGCAAGGUGUGAAAUUUGUUGUAUAAUUAUUAGUUGUUGGGAUCAGGCAUAAAAAAACACCCUGUAAAUCUUGAAUAAUGACAAUUUGUCACAGAUCAC
Molecule: long non-coding RNA, 434 nt
Filed under: Fukomys damarensis (Damara mole-rat)
Lineage: Eukaryota; Metazoa; Chordata; Mammalia; Rodentia; Bathyergidae
Description: lncRNA (ENSFDAG00000031071.1)
Source: RNAcentral